CAUACCUAUCGCUUCCAACUUCAUUUCUAUGUGAGGGUCAAAUUGAUAAUAAGUUUAUAAAACAGAGUACAAUAUUUAUAAAAUGAAACUCAACACGCAUGCGUGAAUUGGUAGCUCUGUCUGUACCUGAGGGUAGCAGUUUUGGCGGACAUAGUCUGGGUGGUUCUAUGUACCACAAUCUCGCAUAAGACUUUCGCCUGUUGAAUAUUAUUACACACAUGAAGAGAAUCUAAAGACUAAAAUCAUGAAACAUAGUAGUACAACAUUAAUAUUUAAUGCUUGCUAAUCCAAUAAUCCCCUUUCCUUGUAUUUCUCGAAACAGGGUGUUAAUUUGAUGAGCUUAAGC
RNAcentral lists this long non-coding RNA (346 nucleotides) under Gossypium raimondii (Peruvian cotton). RNAcentral's name for it is "long non-coding RNA (GRAI_LNC007200)". The record is from RNAcentral. Lineage: Eukaryota; Viridiplantae; Streptophyta; Magnoliopsida; Malvales; Malvaceae.